This is a non-coding RNA of Podarcis lilfordi (Lilford's wall lizard), 71 nucleotides long. The record is from the annotation of a GenBank genome assembly. NCBI's taxonomy places the organism in Eukaryota, Metazoa, Chordata, Lepidosauria, Squamata, Lacertidae.
GGGCUAUAGCUCAGUGGAAGAGCUUUCGCCUUGCGCACUGAAGGUUCCGGGUUCAAUCCCAGGCAUGUCCA